This 552-nucleotide long non-coding RNA is filed under the name Capra hircus (goat). RNAcentral describes it as "lncRNA (ENSCHIG00000007222.1)". Lineage: Eukaryota; Metazoa; Chordata; Mammalia; Artiodactyla; Bovidae. The record is from RNAcentral.
AGCCCCCUCACUGUGUUGCUCCCACCACUCACCCGAUACCGACCCCCUCGCCCACGCCCGGGCAGGCAGGGCUGGGACACCAGACCUACCUGGGCCACGGGAUGCACUGGGCAGGUGGGGGUGGCAGGGACAGUGGCUUCUGAGUGCACAGGAGUGGCUGGUGUUUGACGAGAUCCGCCCUCAGGUAAGCGGCAUGAGGAGAAUGACACUAGCGGCUUGGGCAGAAGAGAGAAGGGCCGUUGAAGCAGACAGCGCCGGCUAUUUUCAGGCGGGCUCCAUUUGGGUGGCCUCCUGCCCCCUAAUAUCUGAUAUUGGGAAAGAAUGGUGGCUUUCCCGCUGCGGAAACUGUUUUCCUCAUCAGUUACAGCUGAGCACCUGCCUGCUCGCUGCUCACCGGGGGCACAGGCACUGCCCCUAAAAGCCGAGAGCCUCUCGCGCACGCGCAGUCCGCUUCCCAGAACCGGCCGGCUCCAGUCUGAUCCUGUCAAGGCUUGUUGGCCUAGAGCCUGGUCCUGCGCAGGUAUUUUCCAGUAUCCUGAGAGACCUUGCUGA